This 331-nucleotide unclassified non-coding RNA is filed under the name Hevea brasiliensis (rubber tree). Lineage: Eukaryota; Viridiplantae; Streptophyta; Magnoliopsida; Malpighiales; Euphorbiaceae. The record is from RNAcentral.
CAAAUUUCAGAAAGAAAUCCCAGAAAACAACAAAUGGAUAUUAACAAGCCUUUGAGGCCCAUGACUCACAUUCUCCUUGUCUUACUCUUUCAUUUUGUUUUGUUUCUUUUCUUUUCCUUUCCCAUAUAAAUGCACAACUAGGAAUGUAAUUAUUGUAUUUUAUCCCCAAUUGUUGUUUCCAUAUAGAUUAGGCCAUUAAGAAGGUUCUCCAAUUUUUCCCUCUUCAUCUGUCCUAUGCUCUGGAAAGAGCCAUUUCGAGGAAGAGUAAUUGUAGAAUAUAUAUUUAUCUUUUUAAAUUAAUCUAGUCAGGUAGUUUUCUCAAAAAAAAAAA